This 281-nucleotide ribosomal RNA is filed under the name uncultured bacterium. RNAcentral describes it as "partial 16S ribosomal RNA". It matches the Rfam family "Bacterial small subunit ribosomal RNA", at positions 505 to 784 of the family's 1533-position model. The record is from RNAcentral.
GUGCCAGCAGCCGCGGUAAUGCGUAGGGGGCGAGCGUUGUCCGGAUUUGUUGGGCGUAAAGAGCUCGUAGGCGGUUCAACAAGUCGGUCGUGAAAGUUCAGGGCUCAACCCUGAAAUGUCGAUCGAUACUGUUGUGACUAGGAUACGGUAGAGGUGAGUGGAAUUCCGAGUGUAGCGGUGAAAUGCAUAGAUAUUACACAGAAUACCAAUUGCGAAGGCAGAUUACUAACAAUUAACUGACGCUGAGGGACGAAAGCGUGGGUAGCGAACAGGAUUAGAUA